Molecule: ribosomal RNA, 464 nt
Filed under: uncultured bacterium
Lineage: Bacteria
Description: partial 16S ribosomal RNA
Rfam family: Bacterial small subunit ribosomal RNA
Source: RNAcentral
GACGAACGCUGGCGGCGUGCUUAACACAUGCAAGUCGAACGGUAAGGCCCUGCUUGGAUCUUACUCAACUGUCGAACGCGUGAGUAACACAUGGGUGAACUCCCCUUCACUUCCGGGUAAGCGUGGUGAACUCGGUCUAUUACCCGGUAUGCGACCUUCUUAGUCUUCUUGUUCAGCAGGUACUUCGGUCAGGGAUGAGCUCGCGGCCUAUCAGCUAGUUGGUUGGGUAACGGCUUACCAAGGCGGCGACGGGUAGCCGGCCUGCGAGGGUGACCGGCCACACUGGGACUGAGACACGGCCCAGACUCCUACGGGAGGCAGCAGUGGGGAAUAUUGCACAAUGGGCGAAAGCCUGAUGCAGCAACGCCGCGUGAGGGACGACGGCCUUCGGGUUGUAAACCUCUUUUAGCAGGGAAGAAGCGAAAGUGACGGUACCUGCAGAAAAAGCGCCGGCUAACUACGUG